Molecule: ribosomal RNA, 253 nt
Filed under: uncultured bacterium
Lineage: Bacteria
Description: partial 16S ribosomal RNA
Rfam family: Bacterial small subunit ribosomal RNA
Source: RNAcentral
UACGUAGGUGGCAAGCGUUGUCCGGAAUUAUUGGGCGUAAAGCGCGCGCAGGCGGCCUGUUAAGUCUGAUGUGAAAGCCCCCGGCUCAACCGGGGAAGGUCAUUGGAAACUGAUAGGCUUGAGUACAGAAGAGGAAAGCGGAAUUCCACGUGUAGCGGUGAAAUGCGUAGAGAUGUGGAGGAACACCAGUGGCGAAGGCGGCUUUCUGGUCUGUAACUGACGCUGAGGCGCGAAAGCGUGGGGAGCAAACAGG